This 62-nucleotide non-coding RNA is filed under the name unclassified sequences. RNAcentral's name for it is "RAGATH-18 RNA". It matches the Rfam family "RAGATH-18 RNA". From Rfam's summary of the family: Actinobacteria, Firmicutes, Fusobacteria, Thermotogae (1 example). Nearby to self-cleaving ribozyme genes The record is from Rfam by way of RNAcentral.
CCUUUAGACUACUAAGAAAACUCAAGUAGCUUUUAGCAAAAGAGAGUAGGUUGAUGAAGGAA